UGGAAAAAAUGGAUCAAAGAGGAUGCUUUGGCUGGAUUAAUGUCAUCAUUGGCAGUAGGUUUUAAAUAUUUGCAGAGGUGAAGAUUUUCUCCCAUGUACCUAAGCUUUGUACUUGUCAACUUCAUCCUCAUCAGCUUCAUUCCUUCAUGCAUUCUGUGGAAGUUGGCGAAGAAACGAGCCGUUCAACUUCUCACAUGAAGAUUCUCAGAGCAAGUGAAGGUGACUGGACGGGCGCUUACAGUACCAUCUGCCUUAAUCAGCUAAGCAGAUCAGCAGACCCAUUCACAUCCAUAGGCCUUACUACAGUCCAGGCAGGAGGAGGCCCUUCUCCAUUUCACUAUUGCCAGAGCCCCUGAAGCUGGAGCCACCCUCUGUGGAAUGAGUGAUGGAACUUAAAGAACGUGAUUGCUGGCUGCUUCAGAAGGCCAUCAAACAUCAGAUA
This is a long non-coding RNA of Engraulis encrasicolus (European anchovy), 442 nucleotides long. RefSeq lists it as uncharacterized. NCBI's taxonomy places the organism in Eukaryota, Metazoa, Chordata, Actinopteri, Clupeiformes, Engraulidae. The transcript has 3 exons. The record is from RefSeq and is a predicted model, not a curated record.